GUGCCAGCGCCGCGGUAAUACCGGCAGCUCGAGUGAUGUCCAAUAUUAUUGGGCCUAAAGCGUCCGUAGCUGGCCGCGCAAGUCCGUCGGGAAAUCCACCCGCCCAACGGGUGGGCGUCCGGUAGAAACUGGCCGGCUUGGAACCGGAAGGCUCAGAGAGUACGGCCGGGGUAGGAGUGAAAUCCUGUAAUCCCGUCCGGACCACCGAUGGCGAAAGCACUUCGAGAAAACGGAUCCGACAGUGAGGGACGAAAGCUAAGAUCGCGAACCGGAUUAGAUACCCGAGUAGUCC
This 292-nucleotide ribosomal RNA is filed under the name uncultured bacterium. RNAcentral describes it as "partial 16S ribosomal RNA". It matches the Rfam family "Archaeal small subunit ribosomal RNA", at positions 455 to 747 of the family's 1478-position model. The record is from RNAcentral.